AACGAACGCUGGCGGCAUGCCUAACACAUGCAAGUCGAACGAGACCUUCGGGUCUAGUGGCGCACGGGUGCGUAACGCGUGGGAACCUGCCCUUAGGUUCGGAAUAACUCCCCGAAAGGGGUGCUAAUACCGGAUAACGUCUUCGGACCAAAGAUUUAUCGCCUUUGGAUGGGCCCGCGUUGGAUUAGCUAGUUGGUAGGGUAAAAGCCUACCAAGGCGACGAUCCAUAGCUGGUCUGAGAGGAUGAUCAGCCACACUGGGACUGAGACACGGCCCAGAAUCCUACGGGAGGCAGCAGUGGGGAAUAUUGGACAAUGGGCGAAAGCCUGAUCCAGCAAUGCCGCGUGAGUGAUGAAGGCCUUAGGGUUGUAAAGCUCUUUUACCCGGGAUGAUAAUGACAGUACCGGGAGAAUAAGCUCCGGCUAACUCCGUG
This 433-nucleotide ribosomal RNA is filed under the name uncultured bacterium. RNAcentral's name for it is "partial 16S ribosomal RNA". It matches the Rfam family "Bacterial small subunit ribosomal RNA", at positions 29 to 507 of the family's 1533-position model. The record is from RNAcentral.